CCUACGGGGGGCUGCAGUGGGGAAUUUUGCGCAAUGGGCGAAAGCCUGACGCAGCAACGCCGCGUGGGUGAUGAAGGUCUUCGGAUCGUAAAACCCUGUCGUUGGGGACGAAGGUGGGGGCGUUAAUAGCGUUUCUGCUUGACGGUACCCGGAGAGGAAGCCCCGGCUAACUCUGUGCCAGCAGCCGCGGUAAUACAGAGGGGGCAAGCGGGGCGCGGAAUUAUUGUGGGUGAUUGGCGAAGUCGCGGGUGUAAUCCCCGAGCUCAACGUGGGAACUGCAUAUGAGACUGGACGGCUAGAGUACGGGAGAGGGUGGUGGAAUUCCUCGUGUAGCGGUGAAAUGCGUAGAGAUGAGGAGGAACACCAGUGGCGAAGGCGGCCACCUGGACAGUAACUGACGCUGAGGCGCGAAAGUGUGGGUAGCAAACAGGAUUAGAUACCCCGGUAGUC
This 450-nucleotide ribosomal RNA is filed under the name uncultured bacterium. Its description in RNAcentral is "partial 16S ribosomal RNA". It matches the Rfam family "Bacterial small subunit ribosomal RNA", at positions 338 to 795 of the family's 1533-position model. The record is from RNAcentral.